Molecule: long non-coding RNA, 1255 nt
Organism: Herpailurus yagouaroundi (jaguarundi)
Lineage: Eukaryota; Metazoa; Chordata; Mammalia; Carnivora; Felidae
Exons: 11
Source: RefSeq, a predicted model, not a curated record
AGUCCAAGUUCAAGAACAUUUCCAGAUGUUAUGGAUACCUGGGCCAGGUGGCCCUUACCUGACGUAGAAAGCCAAGAUUCUGGAGCCCAGAAAGGCAGGCCAGGAGUGGGAAGAGCAGGCCCAGGAUGGAUUUUCUGUCAUCACUGCUCAGGGUCUAGGAGCUGGAGCAGUGUGGUAUCCCUACCCGGCCCGGCAGCUGAAGACGGGGGAAACUGAGGCCCAGAGAGGUUCUAGACCUGCCAGAAAGUGCUGGAUCCAGGAUACAGAACAUUAGCUAAAGCUGAGCUAUGGCAGACCUCGGUUUCCUUGUACCUAAAAGUGGACCAGCCUUAUGUUACAGCCACAGCCCAGGCUGCAGCAGAAGCUUAAAUGGAAUCGUGAGUUCUGCCAUGUACUCUGCUUCAGAAGUUCCGGGGAGCAGAGGACACUCGAGGUCGCAUCCUCAGUGUGGCCUGGAUCCUUCUCCCCUUUUGUUCUCCUGGAGAACGUCUUGCAGUAUAGCUGAUCCUGGAUGUCGGAGAGGUCACAUGUGACUCUGAGCAGUAUGUCUGGCGUGGAGGCGUAAGAGAGGCCUGAUGCCCACGGAGGAUUUCACGUGUUAACAGGAUGGCCCUGUAUACAGAAGCAACCAAGGGCCCCAGCACGGGGACACCAGCACCGGAUAGCACCUCAUAAGGACAAAACACUGAAUUUCUCCUUUGCCCUCUAGUGGAAGUCAUCUGCGAUCCCUCCGGGGGUGAGUAUUAUGUGUGCCCUGAGAUGGUCCCUGAGGGCGGCCAUAUGGACCCGCGUGCUGCCAGGCUGGCUGUGUGCCCCAGAUCCUGAGCUGUCGGUGGAGAUAGGGGUCGAGCCCAGAGACCCCAGCCAGAAUUACUUUGGCACGUGUUUUCAUUUCUACCUGAACUUUGAAAAGCAUGGACAUUCCCCCAAAUCCAUUUUCCUCGUUUGCUGGGGCAGACGCCGCUCGUUUAUGGCCCUGGGAAGGAAGACAUCACACCUCAAGUGCCAUUCCGAUCCCAGAAUGUCAUCAGGACCACCCCCGCGCUGAGACUUUUCACCUGCAACACUGAGGCUCAGAGAGGGCACGUGAGGGCCCCAUAGCCACACAGCAAACAGAAGGAAAGUAACUGCUGAAGACGCCCCCAGGGACCCAGCCGGAGGCCCCAGUCCAGCAGGGGCAGAGAGCCCGGGGUGGAAAGGGCCAGAAAGCAGGGGAGGGGCAGAGAGAGAAACACACACAGAAUCCGAAGCAGGC